Octodon degus (degu) is the source of this 101-nucleotide long non-coding RNA. RefSeq lists it as uncharacterized. The transcript has 3 exons. Lineage: Eukaryota; Metazoa; Chordata; Mammalia; Rodentia; Octodontidae. The record is from RefSeq and is a predicted model, not a curated record.
UGCUCUUCCUGGGGCCCAGGCCAACCCCCUUCUCACUGGCCCCACCUGGGAGGUCCCAGCACUCACUCUUCUUCUGGGCCGCCCGGAGGAGGCUGUCAAAG